CCUACGGGGGGCAGCAGUGGGGAAUAUUGCACAAUGGGCGCAAGCCUGAUGCAGCCAUGCCGCGUGUGUGAAGAAGGCCUUCGGGUUGUAAAGCACUUUCAGGGGGGAGGAAGGCGUUAAGGUUAAUAACCUUGUCGAUUGACGUUACCCGCAGAAGAAGCACCGGCUAACUCCGUGCCAGCAGCCGCGGUAAUACGGAGGGUGCAAGCGUUAAUCGGAAUUACUGGGCGUAAGGCGCACGCAGGCGGUCUGUCAAGUCGGAUGUGAAAUCCCCGGGCUCAACCUGGGAACUGCAUUCGAAACUGGCAGGCUAGAGUCUUGUAGAGGGGGGUAGAAUUCCAGGUGUAGCGGUGAAAUGCGUAGAGAUCUGGAGGAAUACCGGUGGCGAAGGCGGCCCCCUGGACAAAGACUGACGCUCAGGUGCGAAAGCGUGGGGAGCAAACAGGAUUAGAUACCCUAGUAGUC
Molecule: ribosomal RNA, 465 nt
Filed under: uncultured Klebsiella sp.
Lineage: Bacteria; Pseudomonadati; Pseudomonadota; Gammaproteobacteria; Enterobacterales; Enterobacteriaceae
Description: bacterial SSU rRNA
Rfam family: Bacterial small subunit ribosomal RNA
Source: RNAcentral